AAAUUGAAGAGUUUGAUCAUGGCUCAGAUUGAACGCUGGCGGCAGGCCUAACACAUGCAAGUCGAGCGGUAGCACAGAGAGCUUGCUCUCGGGUGACGAGCGGCGGACGGGUGAGUAAUGUCUGGGAAACUGCCUGAUGGAGGGGGAUAACUACUGGAAACGGUAGCUAAUACCGCAUAACGUCGCAAGACCAAAGUGGGGGACCUUCGGGCCUCAUGCCAUCAGAUGUGCCCAGAUGGGAUUAGCUAGUAGGUGGGGUAACGGCUCACCUAGGCGACGAUCCCUAGCUGGUCUGAGAGGAUGACCAGCCACACUGGAACUGAGACACGGUCCAGACUCCUACGGGAGGCAGCAGUGGGGAAUAUUGCACAAUGGGCGCAAGCCUGAUGCAGCCAUGCCGCGUGUGUGAAGAAGGCCUUCGGGUUGUAAAGCACUUUCAGCGGGGAGGAAGGCGGUGAGGUUAAUAACCUCAUCGAUUGACGUUACCCGCAGAAGAAGCACCGGCUAACUCCGUGCCAGCAGCCGCGGUAAUACGGAGGGUGCAAGCGUUAAUCGGAAUUACUGGGCGUAAAGCGCACGCAGGCGGUCUGUCAAGUCGGAUGUGAAAUCCCCGGGCUCAACCUGGGAACUGCAUUCGAAACUGGCAGGCUAGAGUCUUGUAGAGGGGGGUAGAAUUCCAGGUGUAGCGGUGAAAUGCGUAGAGAUCUGGAGGAAUACCGGUGGCGAAGGCGGCCCCCUGGACAAAGACUGACGCUCAGGUGCGAAAGCGUGGGGAGCAAACAGGAUUAGAUACCCUGGUAGUCCACGCCGUAAACGAUGUCGAUUUGGAGGUUGUGCCCUUGAGGCGUGGCUUCCGGAGCUAACGCGUUAAAUCGACCGCCUGGGGAGUACGGCCGCAAGGUUAAAACUCAAAUGAAUUGACGGGGGCCCGCACAAGCGGUGGAGCAUGUGGUUUAAUUCGAUGCAACGCGAAGAACCUUACCUGGUCUUGACAUCCACAGAACUUUCCAGAGAUGGAUUGGUGCCUUCGGGAACUGUGAGACAGGUGCUGCAUGGCUGUCGUCAGCUCGUGUUGUGAAAUGUUGGGUUAAGUCCCGCAACGAGCGCAACCCUUAUCCUUUGUUGCCAGCGGUUAGGCCGGGAACUCAAAGGAGACUGCCAGUGAUAAACUGGAGGAAGGUGGGGAUGACGUCAAGUCAUCAUGGCCCUUACGACCAGGGCUACACACGUGCUACAAUGGCAUAUACAAAGAGAAGCGACCUCGCGAGAGCAAGCGGACCUCAUAAAGUAUGUCGUAGUCCGGAUUGGAGUCUGCAACUCGACUCCAUGAAGUCGGAAUCGCUAGUAAUCGUAGAUCAGAAUGCUACGGUGAAUACGUUCCCGGGCCUUGUACACACCGCCCGUCACACCAUGGGAGUGGGUUGCAAAAGAAGUAGGUAGCUUAACCUUCGGGAGGGCGCUUACCACUUUGUGAUUCAUGACUGGGGUGAAGUCGUAACAAGGUAACCGUAGGGGAACCUGCGGUUGGAUCACCUCCUUA
This 1540-nucleotide ribosomal RNA is filed under the name Pseudomonas aeruginosa. RNAcentral's name for it is "bacterial SSU rRNA". It matches the Rfam family "Bacterial small subunit ribosomal RNA". The record is from RNAcentral. Lineage: Bacteria; Pseudomonadati; Pseudomonadota; Gammaproteobacteria; Pseudomonadales; Pseudomonadaceae. RNAcentral also lists the same sequence under 9 other names.